GGGGGGACCAUCCUCCAAGGCUAAAUACUCCUGACUGACCGAUAGUGAACCAGUACCGUGAGGGAAAGGCGAAAAGAACCCCGGCGAGGGGAGUGAAAAAGAACCUGAAACCGUGUACGUACAAGCAGUGGGAGCACCUUCGGGUGUGACUGCGUACCUUUUGUAUAAUGGGUCAGCGACUUAUAUUCUGUAGCAAGGUUAACCGUAUAGGGGAGCCGCAGGGAAACCGAGUCUUAACUGGGCGUUAAGUUGCAGGGUAUAGACCCGAAACCCGGUGAUCUAGCCAUGGGCAGGUUGAAGGUUGGGUAACACUAACUGGAGGACCGAACCGACUAAUGUUGAAAAAUUAGCGGAUGACUUGUGGCUGGGGGUGAAAGGCCAAUCAAACCGGGAGAUAGCUGGUUCUCCCCGAAAGCUAUUUAGGUAGCGCCUCGUGAAUUCAUCUUCGGGGGUAGAGCACUGUUUCGGCUAGGGGGUCAUCCCGACUUACCAACCCGAUGCAAACUACGAAUACCGAAGAAUGUUAUCACGGGAGACACACGGCGGGUGCUAACGUCCGUCGUGAAGAGGGAAACAACCCAGACCGCCAGCUAAGGUCCCAAAGUCAUGGUUAAGUGGGAAACGAUGUGGGAAGGCACAGACAGCCAGGAUGUUGGCUUAGAAGCAGCCAUCAUUUAAAGAAAGCGUAAUAGCUCACUGGUCGAGUCGGCCUGCGCGGAAGAUGUAACGGGGCUAAACCAUGCACCGAAGCUGCGGCAGCGACACUAUGUGUUGUUGGGUAGGGGAGCGUUCUGUAAGCCUGCGAAGGUGACCUGUGAGGGUUGCUGGAGGUAUCAGAAGUGCGAAUGCUGACAUAAGUAACGAUAAAGCGGGUGAAAAGCCCGCUCGCCGGAAGACCAAGGGUUCCUGUCCAACGUUAAUCGGGGCAGGGUGAGUCGACCCCUAAGGCGAGGCCGAAAGGCGUAGUCGAUGGGAAACAGGUUAAUAUUCCUGUACUUGGUGUUACUGCGAAGGGGGG
Molecule: ribosomal RNA, 1018 nt
Filed under: Klebsiella pneumoniae
Lineage: Bacteria; Pseudomonadati; Pseudomonadota; Gammaproteobacteria; Enterobacterales; Enterobacteriaceae
Description: partial 23S ribosomal RNA
Rfam family: Bacterial large subunit ribosomal RNA
Source: RNAcentral